GUGAGGAAUAUUGGACAAUGGAUGGAAAUCUGAUCCAGCCAUGCCGCGUGCAGGAAGACGGCCCUAUGGGUUGUAAACUGCUUUUAUACGGGAGCAAUAAGGUCUAUGCAUAGAUUGAUGAGAGUACCGUAUGAAUAAGCAUCGGCUAACUCCGUGCCAGCAGCCGCGGUAAUACGGAGGAUGCGAGCGUUAUCCGGAUUUAUUGGGUUUACAGGGUGCGUAGGCGGCUUUGUAAGUCAGCGGUGAAAUUUUGCAGCUUAACUGUAAAAGCGCAGUUGAUAGUGUGAAGCUAGGAUUUGGUUGCUGUGGGCGGAAUGUGUGGUGUAGCGGUGAAAUGCAUAGAGAUCACACAGAAUAUCGAUUGCGAAGGCAGCUCACAAAGCCAAUAUUGACGCUGAGGCACGAAAGUGUGGGGAUCAAACAGGAUUAGAAACCCGUGUAGUCC
This 445-nucleotide ribosomal RNA is filed under the name uncultured bacterium. RNAcentral's name for it is "partial 16S ribosomal RNA". It matches the Rfam family "Bacterial small subunit ribosomal RNA", at positions 354 to 796 of the family's 1533-position model. The record is from RNAcentral.